This 28-nucleotide non-coding RNA is filed under the name Mus musculus (house mouse). Lineage: Eukaryota; Metazoa; Chordata; Mammalia; Rodentia; Muridae. The record is from RNAcentral.
UUUGAAAUACACGGGCUUGCUUGGCUGG